GCCAGUUCAAAACCAAUUCAGAAAGAAGAACUGCUGAGUUUCUAACCAGAACAGUUUCCAGAUGACUGCAACAGUGCAUCAGGUAUGCAUGCUUUCCAUGUCACCUUUGUGAACAAACAGGAUGAGAAGUGUCCAUGUAUGGUUCUGCAGUUGGUUUGGGUAUGCAUCUGUUCUGCAGUUGUUCCACAAGUCUGGUCUUCCAGAGUGAGAAACCAACUGGAGUUUAUUGGAAAAGCUUUAGACCUGAGGUCCAGAAUGGCUGUGUUUGGGUGAGGUUGGUGGCUUGCACCUGCAUGCAAUGGUAUGACUGUCUAUUGAAAUGUGUAUUCACCCUGGUUUUGCAAUAAGAGCUGCUCCAUAGAGCUUGCAUGCUGGGGCUGGGGAAGGACUGGGCAGGUUAUCACAUCUGGUCCUCUGCAGCUGGAGUCUCCAAUGGAGCAUUCACUCCACACACCACAAAAUGGUUCAAGCCAGCAGCAAACGUAGAGCUUGCAGCAGAAGUCUGAAAGCCAUAACGUGUGUUGUUCUGCUUGGAAGGUGCUGGAGAAACCAAAAGCAUUAUUUGCUGCCUGUGGUCACCUCAAACUGUUAAAUGUGUAACUUAAUAUAUUAUUAUAAGCCUGCAAAAACUUCACUGGUCAGUGAGGUAUAUCAGUGAAUUCUGUGUGUGUUAAUAAUCUUUAGGCUCUUAGCUAAAUCAUAGUCAUGUUUUAUUUAGUAAAUGCUGGGUUGGAGG
RNAcentral lists this long non-coding RNA (736 nucleotides) under Gallus gallus (chicken). Lineage: Eukaryota; Metazoa; Chordata; Aves; Galliformes; Phasianidae. The record is from RNAcentral.